GACAAGAGCUUUCUCUGGCUGGGGCUGUGUUGGUGGCUCAGGAGUGUCCACUCCAUCAAGAGUAGGACUUUAUGCCAGCUCUGUCCAGGAGCUGAGGUCUGGCCCUCAUCACUCAAAGCCCAUCUUAGUAGGACAUUCUGGACUUCAGGUCCGGAAUUUGUCAGGAAACCCGAGAGGCUGAAAAUUUCGGAAAUUUCUUUGUUUUUAAAGGCCCUGACUGAUUGGAAGAGGCUCAUCUACUCUACAGAAGGCGAGAAAGCUGCUUUACUCACAAUCUACUGGUUUAAAUAUUGAUCUCAUCUAAAGAGUACUUUCACAGCAAUAUCUAGACUUCAGUUUGAAUAAACAAUGGGGCGCCAUAGCCUAGCCAACUUGACACACAAUAUUAAGCGUCACAAGCACAAGCACUGUGUAGCCUUGGGCAAGCUGCGCAAUCUUUCUGUGCCUCACAUCCUCUCAUGUGGCGAGUGCAGAUAAGGAACAGUCCCUGCCUCAUAAAGUUGUUAUGAGGUUAAAUGCACAAAAACAUACACAGCAGCCUCUUCUGACCCAUGCUUUGCUUUAUGUGCCCCAAACUACUCUUAUGC
RNAcentral lists this long non-coding RNA (587 nucleotides) under Heterocephalus glaber (naked mole-rat). RNAcentral describes it as "lncRNA (ENSHGLG00000037425.1)". The record is from RNAcentral. Lineage: Eukaryota; Metazoa; Chordata; Mammalia; Rodentia; Bathyergidae.